UUUUAACUUGAGGUUGUGGAAAUUGUUAUACUUGAGACCUGGGUAUAGGUCGAACUUGAGUUUUUUUUUUUAACAUGAGUUUGUGUCGUGUUUGAACUUGAGCUUGUGGUGUUUUUGGACUUUAGUUUGUGGUGUUUUUGAACUUGAGUUUGUGUGUUUGUUGAACUUGAGUUUGUGUUGUGUUUGAACUUGAGUUUGUGGUGUUUUUUAACUUAAGUUUGUGGUGUUUUUGAACUUGAGUUUGUGUGUUUGUUGAACUUGAGUUUGCGGUGUGUUUGAACUAGAGUUUCUGUUGUUUUUGAACUUGAGUUUGUGUGUUUGUUGAACUUGAGUUUGUGUUGUGUUUGAACUUGAGUUUGUGGUGUUUUUGAACUUGAGUUUGUGUGUUUGUUGAACUUGAGUUUGUGUUGUGUUUGAACUUGAGUUUGUGGUGUUUUUGAACUUAAGUUUGUGGUGUUUUUGAACUUGAGUUUGUGUGUUUGUUGAACUUGAGUUUGCGGUGUGUUUGAACUAGAGUUUCUGUUGUUUUUGAACUUGAGUUUGUGGCAUUUGUUGAACUUGAGUUUGUGACGUGUUUGAACUUGGGUUUGUGUGUUUUUUGAACUUGAAUUUCUGUUGUUUUUGAACUUGAGGUAUUGGAAAUUGUUAAACCUUAGAAUCAGCUGUUGGUUGAACUUGAGUUUGUGUUUUGUUGAACUUGAGUUUGUGUUGUGUUUGAACUUGAGUUUGUGGUGUUUUUGAACUUGAGCUUGUG
Xyrichtys novacula (pearly razorfish) is the source of this 754-nucleotide non-coding RNA. NCBI's taxonomy places the organism in Eukaryota, Metazoa, Chordata, Actinopteri, Labriformes, Labridae. The record is from the annotation of a GenBank genome assembly.